AUGUUUUUUAGCACACAGAGAGGCCUGACACAUUAUUACCAGUAGCCGAGUGAGAGAGAAACAGUUCUAGAGAGAGAAAGAGGGAGAGAGUUUGAUUUUUGAAUGUGAUUGUUAUUAGUAUAUUUGUCAUGCUCUCUUGUGUCUGCUAGUGUAUACAUUCAAACUUGACCUGCUAGUUUCUUAGAUUCUUCCUUUUCUUUUAUUUUCUUACAAUGAUUUCGACCGUUUGUGUCAGUUUCUGUAUUUUCAAACAAAAGCAGCUUCUGGGCAUUCCUCAUUCUCAGUGAGUGAGAGUGGGAUUCCUUUGCUUUUG
This 313-nucleotide long non-coding RNA is filed under the name Populus trichocarpa (black cottonwood). Its description in RNAcentral is "long non-coding RNA (PTRI_LNC000668)". Lineage: Eukaryota; Viridiplantae; Streptophyta; Magnoliopsida; Malpighiales; Salicaceae. The record is from RNAcentral.